This 220-nucleotide ribosomal RNA is filed under the name uncultured crenarchaeote. Its description in RNAcentral is "partial 16S ribosomal RNA". It matches the Rfam family "Archaeal small subunit ribosomal RNA", at positions 345 to 566 of the family's 1478-position model. Lineage: Archaea; Thermoproteati; Thermoproteota. The record is from RNAcentral.
AAACUCUGCAAUAGGCGAAAGCUUGACAGGGUUAUUCUGAGUGAUUUCCGCUAAGGAAAUCUUUUGGCACCUCUAAAAAUGGUGCAGAAUAAGGGGUGGGCAAGCCUGGUGUCAGCCGCCGCGGUAAUACCAGCACCCCGAGUGGUCGGGACGAUUAUUGGGCCUAAAGCAUCCGUAGCCGGUUCUACAAGUCUUCCGUUAAAUCCAUCUGCUUAACAGA